AAAGCCAAUAUAAUGAGGCCUCUUCUUUGUUAAAGAAGAAACAGAGUG
Molecule: transfer RNA, 48 nt
Filed under: Strigamia maritima
Lineage: Eukaryota; Metazoa; Arthropoda; Chilopoda; Geophilomorpha; Linotaeniidae
Description: tRNA-Asn
Source: RNAcentral